AUGAAGGAUGAACACUUCCAACCCAUCAUGGAUAGGUUUGGGAAACGAUGUAACGAUUGGUCUGAGAGGUUCAUGUCGUAUGCAGCUAAGGAAGUCCACAUCAAAUCAGUUGUCCAAGCCCUUCCAACCUUUACAAUGAGCGUGUUCAAGCUCUCGAAAGGAUUCUUUGAGAAAUAUGAAAGAAUGAUUAGGGACUUCUGA
This 201-nucleotide ribosomal RNA is filed under the name Triticum aestivum (bread wheat). Its description in RNAcentral is "partial small subunit ribosomal RNA". The record is from RNAcentral. Lineage: Eukaryota; Viridiplantae; Streptophyta; Magnoliopsida; Poales; Poaceae.